RNAcentral lists this small nucleolar RNA (107 nucleotides) under Brassica napus (rape). RNAcentral describes it as "Plant small nucleolar RNA R71". It matches the Rfam family "Plant small nucleolar RNA R71". From Rfam's summary of the family: R71 is a member of the C/D box family of snoRNAs containing the C (UGAUGA) and D (CUGA) box motifs. Multiple nearly identical copies of this snoRNA have been identified in Arabidopsis, and it is thought to function as a 2'-O-ribose methylation guide for 18S ribosomal RNA. Lineage: Eukaryota; Viridiplantae; Streptophyta; Magnoliopsida; Brassicales; Brassicaceae. RNAcentral also lists the same sequence under 1 other name. The record is from Rfam by way of RNAcentral.
AAGCCAUGAUGUGGGCAUUGAGACCAAUAGCCCUUGAACCUCUCCCAAGCUUCACUAAAGCCCUCUAGGUUCUUCUGCUAAAAGCUAGAGAUCUCAUUCCUGAUCUU